This is a non-coding RNA of Desmophyllum pertusum, 120 nucleotides long. NCBI's taxonomy places the organism in Eukaryota, Metazoa, Cnidaria, Anthozoa, Scleractinia, Caryophylliidae. The record is from the annotation of a GenBank genome assembly.
GUCAGGAUGGCCGAGCGGUCUAAGGCGCCAGACUCAAGGAUAGUAUCCUUCCCAUGAGUCAUGGGAGUUGGGCGUUCUGGUCUCCGAAUGGAGGCGUGGGUUCGAAUCCCACUUCUGACA